CUUAACGGCGUGCUAUAAUGCAAGUCGAGCGAACAGAUAAGGAGCUUGCUCCUUUGACGUUAGCGGCGGACGGGUGAGUAACACGUGGGUAACCUACCUAUAAGACUGGGAUAACUUCGGGAAACCGGAGCUAAUACCGGAUAACAUUUGGAACCGCAUGGUUCUAAAGUGAAAGAUGGUUUUGCUAUCACUUAUAGAUGGACCCGCGCCGUAUUAGCUAGUUGGUAAGGUAACGGCUUACCAAGGCGACGAUACGUAGCCGACCUGAGAGGGUGAUCGGCCACACUGGAACUGAGACACGGUCCAGACUCCUACGGGAGGCAGCAGUAGGGAAUCUUCCGCAAUGGGCGAAAGCCUGACGGAGCAACGCCGCGUGAGUGAUGAAGGGUUUCGGCUCGUAAAACUCUGUUAUUAGGGAAGAACAAAUGUGUAAGUAACUGUGCACGUCUUGACGGUACCUAAUCAGAAAGCCACGGCUAACUACGUGCCAGCAGCCGCGGUAAUACGUAGGUGGCAAGCGUUAUCCGGAAUUAUUGGGCGUAAAGCGCGCGUAGGCGGUUUCUUAAGUCUGAUGUGAAAGCCCACGGCUCAACCGUGGAGGGUCAUUGGAAACUGGGAAACUUGAGUGCAGAAGAGGAAAGUGGAAUUCCAUGUGUAGCGGUGAAAUGCGCAGAGAUAUGGAGGAACACCAGUGGCGAAGGCGACUUUCUGGUCUGUAACUGACGCUGAUGUGCGAAAGCGUGGGGAUCAAACAGGAUUAGAUACCCUGGUAGUCCACGCCGUAAACGAUGAGUGCUAAGUGUUAGGGGGUUUCCGCCCCUUAGUGCUGCAGCUAACGCAUUAAGCACUCCGCCUGGGGAGUACGACCGCAAGGUUGAAACUCAAAGGAAUUGACGGGGACCCGCACAAGCGGUGGAGCAUGUGGUUUAAUUCGAAGCAACGCGAAGAACCUUACCAAAUCUUGACAUCCUUUGAAAACUCUAGAGAUAGAGCCUUCCCCUUCGGGGGACAAAGUGACAGGUGGUGCAUGGUUGUCGUCAGCUCGUGUCGUGAGAUGUUGGGUUAAGUCCCGCAACGAGCGCAACCCUUAAGCUUAGUUGCCAUCAUUAAGUUGGGCACUCUAGGUUGACUGCCGGUGACAAACCGGAGGAAGGUGGGGAUGACGUCAAAUCAUCAUGCCCCUUAUGAUUUGGGCUACACACGUGCUACAAUGGACAAUACAAAGGGCAGCUAAACCGCGAGGUCAUGCAAAUCCCAUAAAGUUGUUCUCAGUUCGGAUUGUAGUCUGCAACUCGACUACAUGAAGCUGGAAUCGCUAGUAAUCGUAGAUCAGCAUGCUACGGUGAAUACGUUCCCGGGUCUUGUACACACCGCCCGUCACACCACGAGAGUUUGUAACACCCGAAGCCGGUGGAGUAACCAUUUAUGGAGCUAGCCGUCGAAGGUGGACAAAAUUU
This 1457-nucleotide ribosomal RNA is filed under the name Staphylococcus saprophyticus. RNAcentral's name for it is "bacterial SSU rRNA". It matches the Rfam family "Bacterial small subunit ribosomal RNA". RNAcentral also lists the same sequence under 1 other name. The record is from RNAcentral. Lineage: Bacteria; Bacillati; Bacillota; Bacilli; Caryophanales; Staphylococcaceae.